UCCCUACGGGGGGCAGCAGUGGGGAAUCUUGCGCAAUGGGCGAAAGCCUGACGCAGCAACGCCGCGUGAGUGAUGAAGGCCCUCGGGUCGUAAAGCUCUGUCAGAAGGGAAGAAUAAAUGACGGUACCUUCAAAGGAAGCACCGGCUAACUCCGUGCCAGCAGCCGCGGUAAUACGGAGGGUGCAAGCGUUACUCGGAAUCAUUGGGCGUAAAGCGCACGUAGGCGGUCUCUUAAGUCCGGCGUGAAAUCCUGGGGCUCAACCUCAGAUGGCCGUUGGAAACUAAGAGACUUGAGAGUGGAAGGGGUCAGUGGAAUUCCUGGUGUAGGAGUGAAAUCCGUAGAGAUCAGGAGGAACACCGGUGGCGAAGGCGACUGACUGGGCCAUUUCUGACGCUAAUGUGCAAAAGCGUGGGGAGCAAACAGGAUUAGAUACCCUUGUAGUC
RNAcentral lists this ribosomal RNA (444 nucleotides) under uncultured bacterium. RNAcentral describes it as "bacterial SSU rRNA". It matches the Rfam family "Bacterial small subunit ribosomal RNA", at positions 335 to 795 of the family's 1533-position model. The record is from RNAcentral.